UGUUAUUCUAUUGCAAAGUCUUUCCCCUCUUGGAAAAGAAACAGCAAGUAGAGGAAAAAGACCCAAUGGAGUAUUUGAAAAGAAUGAGUCAGGGCGAAGCGAGGCUGGACUUGCCCGGAUUCCUCCUGGGACAGCAGAGCCUGCAGCGGUGGCAGUCAGUUCUGACAUUGAACUCUGCCUGCAGCCUGGCACCGAAGCCCUGGAUGUGGCGGUAGAAAAAAGUGCAGUCCAUUUUUUAGCUUGGUGUGGGGUGUUUUUGUUUUGUGGUUGGGUUUUUCCUCCCACUAUGUGCGGCUGACCUCCUCCCUCCUCCACCAGGAGCCUUAACAGGGGCAGCAAAGCAGGGGCAAAUCUUGGUAUGGGCAAAAUACGUGGAUGCCUCGAGCAGCAGGCUCUUGGGGACAGCAAAACCGAUGCUUUUUGCUGCACACUGGCUCUGCCUGCAUUCAGGAAAGCUGGGCGGGUUGCCUCUGCCGCUCUCCACGGAGAGGCUGGGUAGCUGGGGGUAGAUGCUGCUGGUGGCCCAGGAGAGGCCAGGUUGGCUCUCCAUCCCCUCUUGCCCAGCUCUGUCCUUUUCUCCGCUCUCCUCUUUGCCUUCUUUUGGGGCAGGUGACAUUUAAUUCUGUCUUUGUGGCUGAGAAGCCUUGUGCCCUUGUCUUUUUAUCCUGUAGCUGGUCUUCUACCACCAUGGCUUCAACUCCCUGCCCUCCUCUCCUUUCAAAGCAGCAGUUUCUUCCCCCUGCUCCGAAGAAAGGGAAACCUGAUCCAUUUUAAGGGUAAAACCCUGCAGAGGAUUCACCUUCAGGCUGUUUGUGAGCCAAUGGCUUUGAUGCACUUUUUGGCAUCUAAUUAGUUUGCUAAAUUACUAAUGAUGACCCUUUCUGUAAAGGAGACAGUGUGUGGAAAAAAAUUCCUAGAUUCCUUCAAAAUAUGUCCUAGCGGCAUGGCUGCUAAUUGAGCAGGAACAGAGUAGGUUUUGGUGGACAAUGAUGGGGACAGAGCGCUAGCCAAAGUAGUGUCCUCCCAUGGGCUAAAUCCUGAAGUAAAUCCAAGCUCAUUCAUGGGCCUGUCACAUAAAUAAGGAGUGAACCCCUUCACACCAUUGAAAAUCUGAAAAUCACCUCGUUAACAUCAUAGUUUUUAGAACCUGCUAAAGUCAGUGGAAUUUUUUGUAUUAUUUUAUUUUGUUAUGUCUGUGACAGGCCCCUGGUCUGGAUUUGUACCUACGAUUCCAGAAUCUGACCCUAAUUAAGGGUUUCGACGCUAGACCUCUCAGGAUUUUCUACUCCUCCUGUGCAAUCAGAAUUCAAGAUAAUCUGCAGAAAUAUCUACCCUACUUCCACAGACACCAGCCACAGGAUUUGGCCCUAAACUGAGGAAAGCCUGUAUAAAAAAAGAGAGUACAAAGUCCAGUGUAAGGAAAGAAACAAAACAAACCAGCCUAUUCUGUAGCUGUGCACCAGAUGUGCACCUUGUACCAAGGAAUAUGGUUUGAGGUAUUGUCAGGUGGAGCCUUUAACAGCUCCAAUUCAUGAUCUCUACAAGGUCUUAGAGUAGGUGAAGAAGUUACUGCCCAUGGUCAUGUGUGUGCUCUGAGCUGAAGGUUUGGAUCUGACCAGCAUCUCCCACUGCUCAGCCUGAAGAAGCAAGGCACUUACAAGCUGCCUUUCAAGGAGGAGAAGAAAAAUACUCUGUCCUACCUCUUGACAUGAGGUCUGGCUCUGGGCGCUUGAAGUUCACAUCUGGGAAGCUCACGAGUCAGCAGGAAGCAAUCUUUUCUGAAUAUUCUUUGGACGUAGCUUUGUAGUCGAAGAGGUUGGUUGUGAAAUUCUGGAAAGCCCAAUGGUAAUGUUGCUGAUGCCUAGAAGAAAGAGAAAAAUGUCUUUACCAGCAGCAAGUACUGCUCUAAGGUUGAAGAGGAGAGUCUGGGUGCGAAUAUAAUGCUGGCAGCACCACGUCAAACGCAGCAGGUUUGAUAUUCCUUUCCUAUCAAACUCUGACUUCAAGAUGCCGGUUAAUCUUGCUAGUCUCAAGUGCUGAAACAAGAACAUGAUAAUGGCGACUCUGGCGUAAAAAGAAUUUGAUUUUGCUUUUAAUCAUGUGGCUUCUCUAGCCACAUCCGGAGGUUUUCCUCUAGGUUCUGAUGAACCCAGCAUUUGGGCUUGCUUCAAAGCAGACUGCAUAAUGUACAUGUGUAUAUCGACCUGUGUAUUUUAUAGCUAUAAAAUGGGCUGGGGCUGUUAGCUGUGCUCAGUCCGUUGCUCAGCUGGUUAAAAGAAGAUGCAAAACACAAACUGCUACGGCUCCUCAUUUGUCUUUCCAAGCACCGUGCCUUGGCAGUUUGUGGCAACUGCUGGGCAUGUCAUUCGGGCAUAAGGCAGCUGCCUGUCAUCGGGCAGAAAUUGGCAUCACGUAGCUGCUGCCUGGCCACUCAUCUGCGUUCAGCAGUUGGGAAAACACAGCACGGGGUUGGUUCUGCUCCCAUGAAAGUUGGGGGCUAACCCCCACCCCAUUCUUGAGAUCCAUAGGAGCAGGACUCAGAUCAAAAAAUAUUCUUUUAAUAACUAAAGGCCUACUUUCCACAUACUUGAAUUUACAGCACAGUUGGACUAUUUUGAGGGACUAAAGGCACUUUAACUGUCUUUUAAUGCAAUGUAUUUACUAUGGAUUAUCUGCAUGGAAUACAGUCUUAAUAUUAAAAAAAAUAUCUUCCUUUUGGACUGCUUUGUUUUCAAAAUAAAACAUGCAAAGGA
This is a long non-coding RNA of Falco peregrinus (peregrine falcon), 2753 nucleotides long. RefSeq lists it as uncharacterized. The transcript has 2 exons. The record is from RefSeq and is a predicted model, not a curated record. Lineage: Eukaryota; Metazoa; Chordata; Aves; Falconiformes; Falconidae.